Molecule: ribosomal RNA, 555 nt
Filed under: Triticum aestivum (bread wheat)
Lineage: Eukaryota; Viridiplantae; Streptophyta; Magnoliopsida; Poales; Poaceae
Description: partial small subunit ribosomal RNA
Source: RNAcentral
AUGGAUUCCAUCAGGGCUAACGGGACUUGGGAGCUUACUGAACGUCCUUAUGGUUGCAAACCAUUGGGAUGCAAGUGGGUGUUCAAGAAGAAGCUUAGGCCUGACGGCUUUCUUGUUAAUGAGGCCGACAAAUGUGUAUACUAUCGCUAUGGUGGGGGCGAAGGAGUUAUAUUGUGUUUGUAUGUUGAUGACAUACUGAUAUUUGGGACUAAUCUCAAGUUGAUCGAGGAAGUUAAUUCUUUCCUAUCUCAGAACUUUGAGAUGAAGGACCUUGGAGUGGCUGAUGUUAUCUUGAACAUCAAGCUAUUGAGAGAUGAUGAAGGUGGGAUUACACUUCUGCAAUCCCAUUAUGUUGAGAAGGUGUUGAGUCGGUUUGGAUAUUCAGACUGUACUAUGAACUAUGGACUUCACUAUACCGGAUACCCGUCGGUACUUGAAGGGUAUAGUGAUGCGAAUUGGAUCUCUGAUGCUGAUGAGAUGAAGGCCACAACUGGGUAUAUGUUUACUCUUGGAGGUGGUGCUGUUCCUGGAAGUCUUGCAAGCAAACGAUCUUAA